This 459-nucleotide ribosomal RNA is filed under the name uncultured bacterium. Its description in RNAcentral is "partial 16S ribosomal RNA". It matches the Rfam family "Bacterial small subunit ribosomal RNA", at positions 338 to 795 of the family's 1533-position model. The record is from RNAcentral.
CCUACGGGAGGCAGCAGUGAGGAAUAUUGGUCAAUGGGCGAGAGCCUGAACCAGCAAAGUCGCGUGAGGGAUGACGGUCCUCUGGAUUGUAAACCUCUUUUGUCGGGGAACAAAGGCGCCAACGGGUGGGCGGAUGAGUGUACCCGAAGAAACAGCAUCGGCUAACUCAGUGCCAGCCGCCGCGGUACUACGGGGGAUGCAAGCGUUACCCGGAUGUAUUGGGUUUAAAGGGUUCGUAGGCGGAUAGUCAAGUCAGCGGUAAAAAUGCGGUGCUCAACGCCGUACAGCCGUGGAAACUGGCAGUGUUGAGUGUGCGAGAAGGAUGCGGAAUGCGUGGUGUAGCGGUGAAAUGCAUAGAUAUCACGCAGAACUCCGGUUGCGAAGGCAGCAUACCGGCGCCCUACUGACGCUGAGGCACGAAAGCGUGGGUAUCGAACAGGAUUAGAUACCCUUGUAGUC